RNAcentral lists this ribosomal RNA (150 nucleotides) under bacterium SM15.900-I.101. Its description in RNAcentral is "partial 16S ribosomal RNA". It matches the Rfam family "Bacterial small subunit ribosomal RNA", at positions 355 to 497 of the family's 1533-position model. The record is from RNAcentral.
UAGGGAAUCUUCCGCAAUGGACGAAAGUCUGACGGAGCAAUGCCGCGUGAGUGAAGAAGGUUUUCGGAUCGUAAAACUCUGUUGUUAGAGAAGAACAAGGAUGAGAGUAACUGCUCUUCCCCCGACGGUAUCUACCAGAAGCGAGUCCAC